AGUCCUGUAGCUCAGUGGUUGAGCACUUGCCUCGAAAGCGAGAGGACCUGAGUUUGAUUCCUAGCAGGACGA
Molecule: non-coding RNA, 72 nt
Organism: Callorhinchus milii (elephant shark)
Lineage: Eukaryota; Metazoa; Chordata; Chondrichthyes; Chimaeriformes; Callorhinchidae
Source: the annotation of a RefSeq genome assembly